UGCCUACGGGAGGCAGCAGUGGGGAAUAUUGCACAAUGGGGGAAACCCUGAUGCAGCGACGCCGCGUGAGUGAAGAAGUAUCUCGGUACGUAAAGCUCUAUCAGCAGGGAAGAAAAAAAGUCUUUGGCUUUGGACGGUACCUGACUAAGAAGCCCCGGCUAACUACGUGCCAGCAGCCGCGGUAAUACGUGUGGUGCAAGCGUUAUCCGGAUUUACUGGGUGUAAAGGGAGCGCAGGCGGCACGCUAAGCCUGAUGUGAAAACCCGCGGCCCAACCGCGGGAGUGCAUUGGGAACUGGCGAGCUA
RNAcentral lists this ribosomal RNA (305 nucleotides) under uncultured bacterium. Its description in RNAcentral is "bacterial SSU rRNA". It matches the Rfam family "Bacterial small subunit ribosomal RNA", at positions 335 to 643 of the family's 1533-position model. The record is from RNAcentral.